GGCUUAGCUCAGUUGGUAGAGCAACGCACUCGUAACGCGUAGGUCGUAGGUUCAAGUCCUAUAGCCGG
This 68-nucleotide transfer RNA is filed under the name Enterococcus asini. It matches the Rfam family "tRNA". Rfam says of the family: Transfer RNA (tRNA) molecules are approximately 80 nucleotides in length. Their secondary structure includes four short double-helical elements and three loops (D, anti-codon, and T loops). RNAcentral also lists the same sequence under 2 other names. Lineage: Bacteria; Bacillati; Bacillota; Bacilli; Lactobacillales; Enterococcaceae. The record is from RNAcentral.